GAAAUAAAGAUAAAGAUAAAGUUAAGAUAAAUUACUGAAUAUUCUAUCAGAUGUAUUAUCUAUUAUUGAUCACAUGUUUUUACUGCAAUAUAUUUAUUGUUAUUGAUUUAUUGCCCAGCUCUUUGUAUCAGUUUCACUAUUUUAGCUCAGAUUAGCUUCCACUGAUAUUUUCAUUUAUUUAUUACAUGCCUGUACUUUUCCUCUGCACCAUUUGAAGCUUUAGAAAUCCAUUUCUUUAAACAUUUUGCUAAGGUUGCAGUCAGAACUGAUGACUCAUUCAGAGAAGCAGCAGCGGUAAAUCUGUGGAUGCCACCAUGCAGGGCGUGUUCAGUGAGACCGUCAGACAAAGACAGAUACCUUUAAGGAGCUUGGUGUGUGUAUGUGUGUGGGGGUGGGUAGGUGUGUGUGGGUGGGUGGGUGUGUGUGUGCGUGUGUGUGUGUGUGUGCAGGCAGAAACACUUGUCUUGUGUUAAGUGGUUGCACAAAUCCCUUGUGACUUCCCUGUAAAAUGGAAUAUUCUCCUGUCUUCUCUCCGCCGCUCUCUGUGACCUUUGCCCCCGUCUUUCAGGGCUCACACCUUCCUGUUCGCCUUCACCUGCGCUGCCUAACCUCUGCUGCUUCUCCUGCUCCAGAUCUGGUCUCUGAGUUGCUCCAAUCCUGCCCUGUUUAUGCGGAUCAGCUAACGAACCCAGCACUAUGCUAAUGGGGGAUGCCCUGCAGCAGCCUCUUAGCUGCUCAUUAAUAAAACACAAGUUGCACCUUCCUGGCCUGAAAUAUUUUUGACUCGGUGAACUUUUAAUCUUGACAAGCACGAAAGGAGACAGAGUUGGAUGCAGAAAUGGGAAACGGCUCCAUGCACAUGUCAGACCCAGACAGACAGAAAGCUCUGAUUAGACCUUGAUGCUCAGCAAAAAUAAGGUUAAUUCUGUUUGACCCAAAUAAAGCGGCUGUUGCACCGAAGCCAGAAAGGCUGAGAAAACGGCAGAAAAGUUAUUUUCAAAGAUGAUUUCCAUGAAAAUAAACAUUUUAUAUUUAAAUAUGAAGCUUAUUUCUGAUAUUUAGACGCCAUGUUGCUCAUCUGAUUUUAAUUUUAAUGAUGCCACCAUUAAGAAGAUAUAAAAAAUGACUGUGUGAAGAAGGACAAAGGCUCUGCAUUCAUUUCAGAUUAUUAUCUCUCACAGAGGUUAAUAAUGUGGUAAAACAUAAAAAAAAUCAGUUUAAUAUGUCCAUGCAGACCGGGCUUCCAACUGUGAGAUGAGAAAUAAGAAAAUUAAGUUGCAUUAUAUUAAGCGGUUAUUAAAUUUAGCUCUUCAUAAACUCCGUUCUGCAGGUUUCAGGUCCGGUAAUCUGGUUCCUUUGAUUAGAUUUUAUUAGAUUAGAUUUGAUGCUUUGUGAAUUCAUCAGAUUCUGGAGAGUUUUAGGCUGAAUUCACACCAGCUCUGUUUAGUUCACUUUAAUCAAACUCCAGUCAGUUUGUCCAGAAACGGACUGUUGAGAUGCAUAAACUAUUGUUGUCUUCAUGUAUUGAAAUCUCAAUAAUAAUUUUUAUCCUCCAGCAAAGAUAAUUGUUUCUUUGGCCUCAGGCAGUCUGGUGAUUCAGAAGGAAAGUUUAGGUGACGAGCAGCGAUUUGUCUGGUCGGCUGCCCCUCCGUCUUUAUCUGCACCAUAUGAGCUCUAAGUUUCCCCUCAGCUCUGCUCAAUGAGCCUCACAUGAGUCAUUGCAAGUCCCUGUCUUUGCCUUCUUGUGAUUCACAUUAGGCAGCGUGGAAAGAGAGAGCAAACAACAACAACAACAACGCCAAGGCCGUUAAUGAUGCAUGAACCGCCUUAAUGGCAAACAUGCGAAUUUGGAAAGAAGACGGGACGGAGGGAAAACAGCAGAAACGGAGGAAGGUUGGAGUUUAAUUAUCUGUGAAAGGCAGAUGCUGCCAUCUGCUUUUUGGGACGAGUUGUGUCUGUUUGUGUUUGCCUGCAUGUUGGUGUGAGCGUGUGCAGAGCCACGCUCCUUUGUGUGAGCAGACAGCAUGUGACUGCCUCUUGGAAAUGUCUUUCUACCGAGCGGUGGCAUUUGGGGAGUGGGGGAGGGAUUAUCCUGUACAAAGAGACGGAGGGUGGCAGGGAAGGAGGAAGCUGGUGGCGAAGACGACGGAUCGGGUGGAGGUACAGCGUGCAUCUAUCUCCACAGGAAAAUAUGUAAGGCAGGAGGGGAUUGUUCCUGGUAGGGGGCUUCAUGGUGGACCGCCUCGGGCUGCCAAGCCUGUCGCAUCACUAAGGCUGAAAAAGUCUGAUAAAACUCUCCUUCCUUUUCAUCCAGCCGUCCUCCAUCCACCUCUUUAUUCUUCCAGUUUAGAUUUCCAAACCGUUUCUGCAUCUUUGCCUCCAAACUUCCAUCACAGCCACACUUUCUCACAGCCCCACCAAUGAUUGCAACAAACACACUCAGAGAUGAUUGCUUUUCCGACUAACAAAAGAAAUGUAACGAGGCUGCUCCUAUUUCCCAUCGCGUUCCCAUUACCCGCCCGGAGAGGAGACGGCCAACACUCAGAGGGGAGUCUGUAAUCAGAAUAGAUGGAGAAAUCUAGAGAGAGACGUGAAUCGGUCACGCUUCGGGAACAGGACAACCGCUGGCGCUCUCCCUGUGUUUGUGGCCUUAUCCCGUUGGAAAGGAACAGGAAAGGAGGGCAGAAACCAGCAGGAAUCAGACUGGUCUUUCAGAGUUCAACACAAAGAUGAAAGGAACAUGAGUGAGAAAUGAAAACAUUUUUGAAAAGACUUUCAAAACCUCCAUUGAAGUGAAGAAGUUUGGUCUGUCCAGGUUCUUUUGUGGGAGUUCAAGGCUCUAAAGCAGCAGCUGAAGCUGUGGGCAGGAGUCAGAGCUGCUUCUUCUGAAAGACCUUUAAAAAUUAAAUAUGUAUUCAGUAAGAAAGAAAGAAGUGCAAACAGAUCUGAUACUGAAGGCUUAGGGAGCUUUUUAUUCUUUGAAGUGUUUGUCUUUGCUGCUCGUAUUAAUAUAACUACAGUAUCAUCUGCAUAACGGAGAUAUCUGGGAUUUCUGCAAACAACAGACAGAAUAUGCAGUAAGCCAGAAGUUUCAUGGUAAAAAUCACAUUAAUUAUUUAAUGGCAGUGUGUUUCCAUUAAUGUUUUUAUGCAUAUUUUAACACAUUGCAUCAGAAACAGUUGAUGCCAUCAGCAAAAUUCAAAAUAACUUUGCAAAAAAAAAAGUUUUACUGGGAAACUUGGAGACAAAAUCUGGUAUGAAUCAUAAUCAAGAGCAAAAUGCUUCCACAUUCAAGUGCAGCAUUUUGAUUUUUAAAGGGGCAAAAAAACAAAUGUGCUGAUUUGAUCUUUGAAAAUAUCAAACAAAGAAAAGGACAAAAAUACUGACUUAUGCUGUUUUCAGAUAAACAACAAGAAAAGCUGUAA
Xiphophorus hellerii (green swordtail) is the source of this 3425-nucleotide long non-coding RNA. RefSeq lists it as uncharacterized. NCBI's taxonomy places the organism in Eukaryota, Metazoa, Chordata, Actinopteri, Cyprinodontiformes, Poeciliidae. The transcript has 2 exons. The record is from RefSeq and is a predicted model, not a curated record.